AAUCAACGCUGGCGGCGUGCCUAACACAUGCAAGUCGAACGCGAAAGCCCUUUCGGGGGUAAGUAGAGUGGCGUCCGGGUGAGUAACACGUAGGUAAUCUGCCUUCGGGUGGGGAAUAACCAGUCGAAAGAUUGGCUAAUACCGCAUAAUGCAGCGGCACCUAAUGGUGAUUAGUUGUUAAAGCGGGGGAUCGUAAGACCUCGCGCCUGAAGAGGAGCCUGCGGCAGAUUAGCUAGNGGUGAGGUAAUGGCUCACCAAGGCUUCGAUCUGUAGCUGGUCUGAGAGGACGGCCAGCCACACUGGCACUGACACACGGGCCAGACUCCUACGGGAGGCAGCAGUGGGAAUUUUGGGCAAUGGGCGAAAGCCUGACCCAGCAACGCCGCGUGAGGGAGGAAAUCCUUCGGGAUGUAAACCUCACAAGCAAGGGAAGAGAGCUCAGGGCCGAAUAAGCUUUGAGUCCGACGGUACCUUGCGUAAGCC
Molecule: ribosomal RNA, 483 nt
Filed under: uncultured bacterium
Lineage: Bacteria
Description: bacterial SSU rRNA
Rfam family: Bacterial small subunit ribosomal RNA
Source: RNAcentral